This 386-nucleotide ribosomal RNA is filed under the name Geitlerinema sp. PGC19. RNAcentral's name for it is "bacterial SSU rRNA". It matches the Rfam family "Bacterial small subunit ribosomal RNA", at positions 398 to 799 of the family's 1533-position model. Lineage: Bacteria; Bacillati; Cyanobacteriota; Cyanophyceae; Geitlerinematales; Geitlerinemataceae. The record is from RNAcentral.
CGCAUUUGGCAAGAAUGCCUUUGGGUUGUAAACUCCUUUUCUCAGGGAAGAAGCACUGACGGUACCUGAGGAAUCAGCCUCGGCUAACUCCGUGCCAGCAGCCGCGGUAAUACGGAGGAGGCAAGCGUUAUCCGGAAUUAUUGGGCGUAAAGCGUUCGUAGGCGGCAUUUCAAGUCUGCUGUCAAAGGCCGAGGCUCAACUUCGGAAAGGCAGUGGAAACUGAAAAGCUAGAGGUCGGUAGGGGCAGAGGGAAUUCCCAGUGUAGCGGUGAAAUGCGUAGAUAUUGGGAAGAACACCGGUGGCGAAAGCGCUCUGCUGGGCCGAACCUGACGCUGAGGGACGAAAGCUAGGGGAGCGAAUGGGAUUAGAUACCCCAGUAGUCCAGG